RNAcentral lists this ribosomal RNA (1968 nucleotides) under human gut metagenome. Its description in RNAcentral is "bacterial LSU rRNA". It matches the Rfam family "Bacterial large subunit ribosomal RNA", at positions 1 to 1990 of the family's 2925-position model. The record is from RNAcentral.
GAAAGUAAGCAAGGGCAGACGGUGGAUGCCUUGGCUCUCGGAGGCGACGAAGGACGUGAUAAGCUGCGAAAAGCCCGGGGGAGGCGCAAAUAGCCGUUGAUCCCGGGAUAUCCGAAUGGGGCAACCCGGCAGGCUGAAGGCCUGUCAUCCCGAAAGGGAGGCGAACGUGGGGAACUGAAACAUCUAAGUACCCAUAGGAGGAGAAAAUAAACAAUGAUUCCGUAAGUAGUGGCGAGCGAACACGGAAGAGCCCAAACCCAUGUCGUCUAGGCGACACGGGGGUUGUAGGACCACGACGUGGCAAGAAGGAAGGGAAAUGGAACGACUUGGAAAAGUCGGCCAUAGACGGUGAAAGCCCGGUACAUGACUCCCUUACGAAGCCUAGUGGUAUCCUGAGUAGCGCGGGGCACGAGAAAUCUUGCGUGAAACAGCGGGGCCCAUCCCGUAAGGCUAAAUACUCCCGAGAGACCGAUAGCGAACCAGUACCGUGAGGGAAAGGUGAAAAGAACCCCGAGCAGGGGAGUGAAAUAGACCCUGAACCCGUCUGCCUACAAGCGGUCGGAGCGUCGUAAUGACGUGACGGCGUGCCUUUUGCAUAAUGAACCUACGAGUUACCUUCCCCGGCAAGGUUAAGUUCUUGAGGAACGGAGCCGAAGCGAAAGCGAGUCUGAACAGGGCGCCAAGUCGGGGGGGGUAGACGCGAAACCGAGUGAUCUACCCUUGGCCAGGUUGAAGGUUGGGUAACACCAACUGGAGGACCGGAUGGGUAAGCGUUGAAAAGCUUUCCAAUGAGCUGAGGGUAGGGGUGAAAGGCUAAUCAAACUCGGAGAUAGCUCGUACUCCCCGAAAUGCAUUUAGGUGCAGCCUCUUUAUAGUAUAUCGUGAGGUAGAGCGACUGAUUGGAUGCGAGGGCUUCACCGCCUAUCAAGUCCAGAUAAACUCCGAAUGCGCGAUAUAUAUUUACAGGGAGUGAGGGCGCGGGUGCUAAGGUCCGUGUCCGAGAGGAGAAGAAUCCAGACCACCGGCUAAGGCCCCCAAAUGAUCGUUAAGUUGAACUAACGAGGUCGGAUCGCAGAGACAGCUAGGAUGUUGGCUUGGAAGCAGCCAUUCAUUUAAAGAGUGCGUAACAGCUCACUAGUCGAGCGAUCUGGCGUGGAUAAUAAUCGGGCAUAAACGAUCUGCCGAAGCCGUGGAUGUCGCAAGACAUGGUAGGGGAGCAUUCCAUGCCGCGUCGAAGAUGAGGGAUGACCCUUGUUGGAGCGCAUGGAAAAGCAAAUGUAGGUAUGAGUAACGAUAAGGGGGGCGAGAAACCCCCCCGCCGAAAGACCAAGGUUUCCUGAUCAACGCUAAUCGGAUCAGGGUGAGUCGGGACCUAAGGCAAAGCCGAACGGCGCCGCCGAUGGAAGAAUGGGUUAAUAUUCCCAUACUGCCUCAUGGAGUGACGUGGAGACGGAGAAGUGACAGUCCUGCCGGCUGACGGAAUAGCCGGUUGAAGGGUGUAGAUAUUGAUUCCCGUAGGCAAAUCCGCGGGGAGAGUCGAACCUGAGAGUAUACGGAGCGCUUGCGCAACGUAAUAUGGACGUAACCAUGCUCCCGAGAAAAUCCGCUAAACUUAUCCAUGCGGCACCCGUACCGUAAACGGACACACGUGGUCGGGUUGAGAAUACUGAGGCGCUCGAGUGAUUCACGGUUAAGGAACUAGGCAAAUUGACCCUGUAACUUCGGGAUAAAGGGUCCUCGUCGUAAGGCGAGGCGCAGAGAAUAGGUCCAGGCAACUGUUUAACAAAAACACAUGGCUGUGCUAAAUGGAAACAUGAUGUAUACAGCCUGACACCUGCCCGGUGCCGGAAGGUUAAGAGGAGAUGUCAUCCGCGAGGAGAAGCGUUGAAUUGAAGCCCCGGUAAACGGCGGCCGUAACUAUAACGGUCCUAAGGUAGCGAAAUUCCUUGUCGGGUAAGUUCCGACCUG